AAUUUUGUUAAUACUGACGAUCAAUUAAUUGUUCUACCUAAAAUUACUUAUGUUUCCAAAAAGUUUGUACAUUGUUCCUCUUAAACAUUUCCCAUGUUCCUCGAAACUUAAGUUUGCAAUUCAAUAAUUGUUGCAAUUGAAUUUGAAAAUUGAACGAAAAAAAUUGCUCAAUAAUUGCUGCAAUUCUGCAAUUGAACGCCCAUUUCGCCUCGUUUAGUCGUUUCACGAUGUAAGAACGACAUGGGCGACACUGGCGACAUCUAGUAAUGAGUUUUGAAUCUUAAGUUAGUUGCAGAGUCAACAAUUUCAAAACAAAUUAAAAAGCUAAACAACGGAGAUCGGAUAAUAAAUAAUUUCAGCAGUUGUCAUGUACCUGGCCAACCAAGGUGCUCGUGAAAAUAGAAAUGAAAUGGUCUAAUCUAAUAAUGCAAGCUCACAACCUAUGUCUUCUGAAGCAAAAUACUUUAAGUUGCAAGUUGUAAAUCUUCAAGGUAUUGAUGCCUUCUCUACUUAGAAUCUUCUCUACUUUCUCUUAUCUGACUCUCCACACCCUCUCUCCAUACCCCUGCACAAACUUCCAAAGACAAGACUCUGAAAACUGAAAUAUUGAUCUGCCACCUGGGGAAACGACAGAAUUUAACUUUUGUUAUGCGGUUUUUCUGAAAUCUUAUUAUGUAAUACCAUUAUUUUUAGGUUCUUCAUGGCAUUUAAUUUUUGAAUUAGAGAUUUGUGAAAAAAGUUG
This is a long non-coding RNA of Daphnia pulicaria, 742 nucleotides long. RefSeq lists it as uncharacterized. The record is from RefSeq and is a predicted model, not a curated record. The transcript is spliced from 3 exons. NCBI's taxonomy places the organism in Eukaryota, Metazoa, Arthropoda, Branchiopoda, Diplostraca, Daphniidae.